RNAcentral lists this ribosomal RNA (516 nucleotides) under uncultured bacterium. Its description in RNAcentral is "bacterial SSU rRNA". It matches the Rfam family "Bacterial small subunit ribosomal RNA", at positions 8 to 526 of the family's 1533-position model. The record is from RNAcentral.
AGGGUUUGAUCAUGGCUCAGAACGAACGCUGGCGGCAGGCCUAAUACAUGCAAGUCGAACGAGAAAGCAUCUUCGGAUGUAAGUACAGUGGCGGACGGGUGAGUAAUACAUAGGAAUCUACCCAAUGGUGGGGGAUAGCUCGGGGAAACUCGAAUUAAUACCGCAUAAUCUCUACGGAGUAAAGGGGGCUUCGGCUCUCGCCAUCGGAUGAGCCUAUGCAGGAUUAGCUUGUUGGUGAGGUAAUGGCUUACCAAGGCAACGAUCCUUAGCUGGUUUGAGAGGAUGACCAGCCACAUCGGGACUGAGACACGGCCCGGACUUCUACGGAAGGCAGCAGUAGGGAAUAUUGGACAAUGAGCGAAAGCUUGAUCCAGCCAUGCCGCGUGUGUGAAGAAGGCCUUAGGGUUGUAAAGCACUUUAGUUAGGGAGGAAGGCAAUUAGGUUAAGAGCUAAAUUGUUUGACGUUACCUAAAGAAUAAGCACCGGCUAACUCCGUGCCAGCCGCCGCGGUAAUAC